UACAGAGGGGGCAAGCGUUGUUCGGAAUUACUGGGCGUAAAGGGCGCGUAGGUGGCCCUCUAAGUCGGACGUGAAAUCCCCGGGCUCAACCCGGGAACUGCGUCCGAUACUGGAGGGCUCGAAUCCGGGAGAGGGAUGCGGAAUUCCAGGUGUAGCGGUGAAAUGCGUAGAUAUCUGGAGGAACACCGGUGGCGAAGGCGGCAUCCUGGACCGGCAUUGACGCUGAGGCGCGAAAGCUAGGGUAGCAAAUGGG
Molecule: ribosomal RNA, 253 nt
Filed under: uncultured bacterium
Lineage: Bacteria
Description: partial 16S ribosomal RNA
Rfam family: Bacterial small subunit ribosomal RNA
Source: RNAcentral